This 253-nucleotide ribosomal RNA is filed under the name uncultured bacterium. Its description in RNAcentral is "partial 16S ribosomal RNA". It matches the Rfam family "Bacterial small subunit ribosomal RNA", at positions 524 to 776 of the family's 1533-position model. The record is from RNAcentral.
GACGAAGGAUGCAAGCGUUAUCCGGAUUCAUUGGGCUUAAAGGGUGCGUAGGCGGACUGAUAAGUCAGUGGUGAAAUCUCUUUGCUUAACAAAGAAACUGCCAUUGAUACUGUCGGUCUAGAGUAUAGAUGACGUUGGCGGAAUAUGACAUGUAGUGGUGAAAUACUUAGAUAUGUCAUAGAACACCGAUUGCGAAGGCAGCUAACGAAACUAUAACUGACGCUGAGGCACGAAAGUGCGGGGAUCAAACAGG